AGUUGCCAUCGGUGAGGCCGGGCACUCUGGAUGGACUGCCGGCGACAAGCCGGAGGAAGGUGGGGACGACGUCAAGUCAUCAUGGCCCUUAUGUCCAGGGCGACACACGUGCUACAAUGGCCGGCACAGCGGGAAGCGAAGGGGCGACUCUGAGCGGAUCCCUUAAAGCCGGUCCCAGUUCGGAUUGCAGUCUGCAACUCGACUGCAUGAAGUUGGAAUCGCUAGUAAUCGUGGAUCAGCCAAGCCGCGGUGAAUACGUUCCCGGGCCUU
Molecule: ribosomal RNA, 270 nt
Filed under: uncultured Thermovirga sp.
Lineage: Bacteria; Thermotogati; Synergistota; Synergistia; Synergistales; Thermovirgaceae
Description: partial 16S ribosomal RNA
Rfam family: Bacterial small subunit ribosomal RNA
Source: RNAcentral